RNAcentral lists this long non-coding RNA (601 nucleotides) under Homo sapiens (human). Its description in RNAcentral is "HSALNT0311111". Lineage: Eukaryota; Metazoa; Chordata; Mammalia; Primates; Hominidae. The record is from RNAcentral.
GGAAUCCUGUGCCCUUUGCCCAUUCAGCAGGUGUGUGGGAGGUGACUCUCUCAGGAGGUUGAAUAGGGUUAGAAAGACGGCAUGACUAUAUCUCUAAUGUAGACCUAAAGUGCUUCCUAGAGCUAGGGACCAGGAUUCUAAAUGAGACCUGAGGGAAUGGAGCUGUUGUUGACAAGAGCUGUUAGACAAACAGGACAUGGAGGAGGGUAAGUUCAGAUACCAAGAAGGAAGCCUGUAUACAAAAGCAGAUGUGAUGGGAAGAACUGAGGCAGGUGACACUAACCAGGGACUUGCAAUCAGACAAAAGACCAUUCACCCUUCAAGACAUUGAAUCGUACACUACAUGGGGCUGUCCUUGAGGGGAGGAGUGGUUAGUUUGUUCAUCAUCCAGCAUCUAGCACAGUGCCUGGGACAUGUAGAAAACUCUGAGGCUUGACUUACACACCAGAGCUGCCCUGCCAGGUCAGGCUGAGGCCACUCUUCGUGGGACUUUCCCUGAGAUCACAGCCUUCCUGUGUUGACUUCCUCCUCUUCCCUCUCCUGCUUCACACACACCCCUACUGGUCCCCCUGGAAGCAUAUUUUAAAAUAAAUUACUUGUA